ACAUCUCCUGCAACAUGGACCCUCGUAGAA
Molecule: non-coding RNA, 30 nt
Filed under: Homo sapiens (human)
Lineage: Eukaryota; Metazoa; Chordata; Mammalia; Primates; Hominidae
Source: RNAcentral